GCCACUUGGUGAUUGUGAGCCAGCACCAAGAUCGAAGGCAUUUGGAUCCCUGGUGAUCACAGACCCAGCAUGUCAUCUCUGCAAAGGUCUUUGAGCAGGAGCCCAAGGAAGGAAAAAUAAGGACACACAUUUUUGGCUGGAUUAGUAACAUCUUUCCUUUGUCUUCAUCCACCAGUGUUCUUGCUUCCCAGAAAGUGUGGAAUAUUGGCCUUCCUUUUCAGAUUCAUGUGAAAGCUUGGAGAAAAGAACACAGACUAAAAGGAAUAUAAAUCCAAAAGAAUGAGUGAAAUGGGAAUACACAAGGCAUGAGCAAUAAGACUGUUCUCUCAGAAACAAUGAGAAUAACUGCUCUACAUCUUACAAACCAGAAACUUACACGUUGUAUCUCAUUAAAUUUUAUUUUGAAUAUUGAGAACA
Molecule: long non-coding RNA, 417 nt
Filed under: Homo sapiens (human)
Lineage: Eukaryota; Metazoa; Chordata; Mammalia; Primates; Hominidae
Description: long independently transcribed non-coding RNA 2468 (LINC02468)
Source: RNAcentral